AUAAAAUAACAACAACACCGGCAAGUUGUCGUGACCUUUCAUUAUCAUAUCCAUUCUCUCUAGCUCUAACAGUGUUGUCUGAAAUAUGAACACAAGUUAGGCUUGCAGUGCUGCCAUGUCUUGGAGUCCAGGAAGGAGAAGUUCCUUGUUGAGCAAUUGUGCACUUGAAUGGUAGAAAGUUGCGAAGGCUGUUAACAUGCCAGAAUGAGAAGAAGCUAGAGCAAGAAUCUCUCAUCUGGAUUUAUUCUGAAGAAGCUUCUGUUUUCUCAAGAAGAAAACAAGAAGUUGCGUGAAGAGUCUUUCCACCUCAUUUUCAAGGAGAGAGUUGUUUUUCUUCAGCAUCCUUUCAGAGACACUAAAGAGAGAUUAAAAAAGAAGGAUAUUUUCUUAUCUUCAUUCCAAAAUGUGGAAAACAAUUCCAGUCUGAGAAAUGAGCUCUUUGAAUGAUGGAAAUGAUGGAAUUAAAAGCUCUUUUG
Molecule: long non-coding RNA, 476 nt
Organism: Gallus gallus (chicken)
Lineage: Eukaryota; Metazoa; Chordata; Aves; Galliformes; Phasianidae
Source: Ensembl